CAGUAGCCGCGGUAAUACGUAGGGUGCGAGCGUUAGUCGGAUUUACUGGGCGUAAAGCGUGCGCAGGCGGCCCGUUAAGACAGGUGUGAAAUCCCUGGGCUCAACCUAGGAAUUGCGCUUGUGACUGGCGGGCUCGAGUACGGUAGAGGGGGGUGGAAUUCCUGGUGUAGCAGUGAAAUGCGUAGAGAUCAGGAGGAACACCGAUGGCGAAGGCAGCCCCCUGGGCCUGUACUGACGCUCAUGCACGAAAGCGUGGGGAGCAAACAGGAUUAGAUACCCCAGUAGUCCCUGUCUCUUAUAC
RNAcentral lists this ribosomal RNA (301 nucleotides) under uncultured bacterium. RNAcentral's name for it is "partial 16S ribosomal RNA". It matches the Rfam family "Bacterial small subunit ribosomal RNA", at positions 509 to 807 of the family's 1533-position model. The record is from RNAcentral.